AUCCUGGCUCAGAGUGAACGCUGGCGGCAGGCCUAACACAUGCAAGUCGAACGGCAGCACGGCAGUAGCAAUACUGUGGGUGGCGAGUGGCGGACGGGUGAGGAAUACAUCGGGAUCUACCCUGUUGUGGGGGAUAACGUAGGGAAACUUACGCUAAUACCGCAUAAGAACUGAGGUUGAAAGCGGCGGACCGCAAGGCGUCGCGCGAUUGGAUGAACCGAUGUCCGAUUAGCUAGUUGGCGGGGUAAAGGCCCACCAAGGCGACGAUCGGUAGCUGGUCUGAGAGGACGACCAGCCACACUGGAACUGAGACACGGUCCAGACUCCUACGGGAGGCAGCAGUGGGGAAUCUUGCGCAAUGGGAGCAAUCCUGACGCAGCAACGCCGCGUGGGUGAUGAAGGUCUUCGGAUCGUAAAGCCCUGUCGGAGGGGAAGAUGCUUGGAACGUCUAAUAGAUGAGCCAGGUGACGGUACCCUCAAAGGAAGCACCGGCUAACUCUGUG
Molecule: ribosomal RNA, 503 nt
Filed under: uncultured bacterium
Lineage: Bacteria
Description: bacterial SSU rRNA
Rfam family: Bacterial small subunit ribosomal RNA
Source: RNAcentral